Molecule: ribosomal RNA, 253 nt
Filed under: uncultured bacterium
Lineage: Bacteria
Description: partial 16S ribosomal RNA
Rfam family: Bacterial small subunit ribosomal RNA
Source: RNAcentral
UACGGAGGAUGCAAGCGUUAUCCGGAAUUAUUGGGCGUAAAGCGUCCGCAGGUGGUUAUGUAAGUCUGCUGUUAAAGAGUGAGGCUCAACCUCAUAAGAGCAGUGGAAACUACAUAGCUAGAGUGCGUUCGGGGCAGAGGGAAUUCCUGGUGUAGCGGUGAAAUGCGUAGAUAUCAGGAAGAACACCGGUGGCGAAAGCGCUCUGCUAGGCCGCAACUGACACUGAGGGACGAAAGCUAGGGGAGCGAAUGGG